Molecule: ribosomal RNA, 800 nt
Filed under: Triticum aestivum (bread wheat)
Lineage: Eukaryota; Viridiplantae; Streptophyta; Magnoliopsida; Poales; Poaceae
Description: partial small subunit ribosomal RNA
Source: RNAcentral
AAAAAAGUGAGUUCCCUGCCUCUAUGUCGAGCGGCUCUUAGAAAAAGAAAAGAUUCUUCUGAAAAAAAUUAACUCUCAACCGGAGCAGCACCGCGCCGCCGCCCCUCCCCACGUCUCUGGCCCCGCGACCCGACGAACGCCGACCAGAGGACCGCGAGAGGGCGAAGGGGCAGCGCACGACCCGGACAUCCGGCAAUCGGCCUCGGCUGGUCGCCUCGCCCAGCCCAAUCGUCAUCAGCAGCCAUGGCGGCGCCUGAAUCCGGCAGCCACGGCCUCAAAAGAGCACACGCCGGCAGGUGGAACACUUCACGCCUCCACGGCUCCUCCGCUAUUGCGCCGGCGAUUAGCACCGACCGUAGCAUCAGUGCAUCAGCAUACGGUACUCAGUAGGCAGCAGCACCGUUACAAAAAUAAAGAACAAGUCGGGUGAUUGAAACAUUUCUGCACCCAUUCCUUGCUUACAAAAGAAAUAUAAUGGAGUUAAACUCUUCUGCAGGUGUUAUGUCAAGAUAUCACCAUGGCAAGAUCCCCUUUGCUGCUAACCAGGAGGCAGGAACUUGAGAAUUGUUUCAGAACUAUGAAGUGAGAGCACUCUGAAGUUUGAUGUGCACUUGACGCUUGAUCAUUGCACUUCCCCUGAUGAGUUCGGAUCUGAUUCUGCUCAUUGUGAUGUAGCCCCAGCAUGUAGAAGCCACAACAUCUACACUGAUGUUCGUAAAUUUCCUUCUUGGUUUAUCUCCUGUGUAAGUUCCUGCAAAUUGGUAGAGGGCGCAGUGCGCCGACUCAUGGUCUUGCUGCCC